GAUGAACGCUGGCGGCGUGCUUAACACAUGCAAGUCGAGCGAAGCGCCUUAUACAGAUUCCUUCGGGAUGAAGGAUUUGGCGACUGAGCGGCGGACGGGUGAGUAACGCGUGGGCAACCUGCCUCACACAGGGGGAUAACAGCUAGAAAUGGCUGCUAAUACCGCAUAAGGCCGCGGCACCGCAUGGUGCGGCGGCAGAAGCUCCGGCGGUGUGAGAUGGGCCCGCGUCUGAUUAGGUAGUUGGUGCGGUAACGGCGCACCAAGCCGACGAUCAGUAGCCGACCUGAGAGGGUGACCGGCCACAUUGGACUGAGACACGGCCCAAACUCCUACGGGAGGCAGCAGUGGGGAAUAUUGCACAAUGGGGGAAACCCUGAUGCAGCGACGCCGCGUGAAGGAUGAAGUAUUUCGGUAUGUAAACUUCUAUCAGCAGGGAAGAAGAUGACGGUACCUGACUAAGAAGCCCCGGCUAACUACGUGCCAGCAGCCGCGGUAAUACGUAGGGGGCAAGCGUUAUCCGGAUUUACUGGGUGUAAAGGGAGCGUAGACGGCAGGGCAAGUCUGGAGUGAAAGCCCGGGGCUCAACCCCGGGACUGCUUUGGAAACUGCCAUGCUAGAGUGUCGGAGAGGCAAGUGGAAUUCCUAGUGUAGCGGUGAAAUGCGUAGAUAUUAGGAGGAACACCAGUGGCGAAGGCGGCUUGCUGGACGAUGACUGACGUUGAGGCUCGAAAGCGUGGGGAGCAAACAGGAUUAGAUACCCUGGUAGUCCACGCCGUAAACGAUGAAAAUGAGGUGUCGGGAAGCAAAGCUUCUCGGUGCCGCAGCCAACGCAAUA
Molecule: ribosomal RNA, 835 nt
Filed under: uncultured bacterium
Lineage: Bacteria
Description: bacterial SSU rRNA
Rfam family: Bacterial small subunit ribosomal RNA
Source: RNAcentral